RNAcentral lists this ribosomal RNA (253 nucleotides) under uncultured Eubacteriales bacterium. Its description in RNAcentral is "uncultured Clostridiales bacterium partial 16S ribosomal RNA". It matches the Rfam family "Bacterial small subunit ribosomal RNA", at positions 524 to 776 of the family's 1533-position model. The record is from RNAcentral. Lineage: Bacteria; Bacillati; Bacillota; Clostridia; Eubacteriales.
UACGUAGGGGGCAAGCGUUAUCCGGAUUUACUGGGUGUAAAGGGAGCGUAGGCGGUUUAGCAAGUCAGAAGUGAAAGCCCGGGGCCCAACCCCGGGACUGCUCUUGGAACUGCAUGGCUGGAGUACAGGAGGGGCAGGCGGAAUUCCUAGUGUAGCGGUGAAAUGCGUAGAUAUUAGGAGGAACACCAGUGGCGAAGGCGAUUUGCUGGACUGUAACUGACACUGAGGCAUGAGAGCAUGGGGAGCAAACAGG